This 215-nucleotide ribosomal RNA is filed under the name uncultured bacterium. RNAcentral's name for it is "partial 16S ribosomal RNA". It matches the Rfam family "Bacterial small subunit ribosomal RNA", at positions 1285 to 1500 of the family's 1533-position model. The record is from RNAcentral.
AUCCCAGUUCGGAUUGCAGGCUGCAACCCGCCUGCAUGAAGUUGGAAUCACUAGUAAUCGCGGAUCAGCAUGCCGCGGUGAAUGCGUUCUCGGGCCUUGUACACACCGCCCGUCACACCAUGAGAGUCGGGAACACCCGAAGUCCGUAGCCUAACCGCAAGGGGGCGCGGCCGAAGGUGGGCUCGAUAAUUGGGGUGAAGUCGUAACAAGGUACC